AUGGAGUCUAGGACGGCAGAAUUUACUGAUAACGAUUGUACAUGCCUACAGGUAUCUGCGGGCAUUCAUGAAUUUUCUGAUAUGCACAAGCUAGUGGACUUAAAUCAUGCGAUGUUGGGCAAGGUGCGCUCAGCUAUCAGCUGCCCGCAGAAUUUGCAUCAGAUUCAGGAACAGGUUGAUGAUGUCGAGGUAGAGGGACACGGCAGCCCAGAUGUACUCGUCAUACGUGUGGCGCUUGAUGAUGUUGUCCGUGUCGAAGAUGAUGUAGCCACAGAAGAUGAUCGACGCCACGGCCCCAUAUAUCAUGGUGGAGAUCUUGCCCAGUGGGAAAAAGAUCUGCCAGCACAAGUGUGGUGA
RNAcentral lists this ribosomal RNA (357 nucleotides) under Triticum aestivum (bread wheat). RNAcentral describes it as "partial small subunit ribosomal RNA". The record is from RNAcentral. Lineage: Eukaryota; Viridiplantae; Streptophyta; Magnoliopsida; Poales; Poaceae.